Molecule: unclassified non-coding RNA, 330 nt
Filed under: soil metagenome
Description: partial contains 5.8S ribosomal RNA, internal transcribed spacer 2, and large subunit ribosomal RNA
Rfam family: 5.8S ribosomal RNA (bases 5-119)
Source: RNAcentral
GAUGAGAACGUAGCGAAAUGCGAUAAGUAGUGUGAAUUGCAGAAUUCAGUGAAUCAUCGAAUCUUUGAACGCACAUUGCGCCCUUUGGUAUUCCUUAGGGCAUGCCUGUUCGAGCGUCAUUUAAACCUUCAAGCUAAGCUUGGUGUUGGGUGACUGUCCGCUUCACUGCGGACUCGCCUCAAAAUUAUUGGCGGCCGGUACAUUGGCUUCGAGCGCAGCAGAAACGCGAACUCGGGCCCGUCGUAUUGGCUCCCAGAAGCUAUCUUCACAAUUUUGACCUCGGAUCAGGUAGGGAUACCCGCUGAACUUAAGCAUAUCAAAAGCGGAGGA